CGCUUUCACUCCUACGGGAGGCAGCAGUGGGGAAUAUUGCACAAUGGGCGCAAGCCUGAUGCAGCCAUGCCGCGUGUAUGAAGAAGGCCUUCGGGUUGUAAAGUACUUUCAGCAGUGAGGAAGGUGGUGUCGUUAAUAGCGGUAUCAUUUGACGUUAGCUGCAGAAGAAGCACCGGCUAACUCCGUGCCAGCAGCCGCGGUAAUACGGAGGGUGCGAGCGUUAAUCGGAAUUACUGGGCGUAAAGCGCAUGCAGGUGGUUUGUUAAGUCAGAUGUGAAAGCCCGGGGCUCAACCUCGGAAUUGCAUUUGAAACUGGCAGACUAGAGUACUGUAGAGGGGGUAGAAUUUCAGGUGUAGCGGUGAAAAUGCGUAGAGAUCUGAAGGAAUACCGGUGGCGAAGGCGGCCCCCCUGGACAGAUACUGACACUCAGAUGCGAAAGCGUGGGGAGCAAACAGGAUUAGAUACCCUGGUAG
RNAcentral lists this ribosomal RNA (474 nucleotides) under uncultured bacterium. RNAcentral describes it as "bacterial SSU rRNA". It matches the Rfam family "Bacterial small subunit ribosomal RNA", at positions 328 to 793 of the family's 1533-position model. The record is from RNAcentral.